UACGGGGGGGGUAAGCGUUGUUCGGAAUUACUGGGCGUAAAGGGCUCGUAGGCGGCCAACUAAGUCAGACGUGAAAUCCCUCAGCUUAACUGGGGAACUGCGUCUGAUACUGGAUGGCUUGGAUUCGGGAGAGGAAUGCGGAAUUCCAGGUGUAGCGGUGAAAUGCGUAGAUAUCUGGAGGAACGCCGGUGGCGAAGGCGGCAUUCUGGACCGAUAUUGACGCUGAGGAGCGAAAGCCAGGGGAGCAAACAGG
Molecule: ribosomal RNA, 253 nt
Filed under: uncultured bacterium
Lineage: Bacteria
Description: partial 16S ribosomal RNA
Rfam family: Bacterial small subunit ribosomal RNA
Source: RNAcentral